This 549-nucleotide ribosomal RNA is filed under the name uncultured bacterium. RNAcentral's name for it is "bacterial SSU rRNA". It matches the Rfam family "Bacterial small subunit ribosomal RNA", at positions 772 to 1331 of the family's 1533-position model. The record is from RNAcentral.
ACGCAAUAGAUACCCAGGUAGUCCACGCCGUAAACUAUGGAUGCUAGCUGUUAUCGGUAUCGACCCCGGUAGUAGCGAAAGCUAACGCGUUAAGCAUCCCGCCUGUGGAGUACGAGCGCAAGCUUAAAACAAUAAAGGAAUUGACGGGGACCCGGCACAAGCGGUGGAGCGUGUUGUUUAAUUCGACGGUAAACGAAGAACCUUACCCAGGCUUGACAUCCUGCUAAGAUUUCCGAAAGGAAAUUGUGCCUUCGGGCCGCAGUGACAGGUGCUGCAUGGUCGUCGUCAGCUCGUGUCGUGAGAUGUUUGGUUAAGUCCAUCAACGAGCGCAACCCUUAUAGUCAGUUGGAUUUUUCUGGCUAGACUGCCCCGGGUAACGGGGAGGAAGGAGGGGAUGAUGUCAGAUCAUUAUUGCCCUUACGUCUGGGGCUACAAACACGCUACAAUGGCCGGUACAAAGGGCAGCCAACCCGCGAGGGGGUAGCAAAUCCCAUCAAAGCCGGUCUCAGUUCGGAUUGUAGGCUGAAACUCGCCUGCAUGAAGCUGGAA